Molecule: long non-coding RNA, 547 nt
Organism: Prunus persica (peach)
Lineage: Eukaryota; Viridiplantae; Streptophyta; Magnoliopsida; Rosales; Rosaceae
Exons: 2
Source: RefSeq, a predicted model, not a curated record
CAACACCUGGCUGGCUAGGACGUGUCGGAAUCCCGAAUCACGUGCUUGACUUGACGUAUGCGCUCGCGAAAUUUCGAAAGUGUAAUUAGUAGUACCAUUUUGUUUUUGUGGGGGGUUGUCUCUCAUUUUCCUCAGCCCUCUCUGGUUUACGCUGCAUCUCUCAUCCUCUCUUGGCCUGCCGCCGAUUCCAGCCUGCAGGUAGAAUUAUUUAUUUAUGGGUCCAAGUAUAGUGAAGGAGAUCAUAUAUGGGGCAACGAUUGGGCUGUCGGUUGGGUUUCUUUGGAAAAUGUAUCACUGGAAUCUUCAGAGGAGAACCAAGGAAUUUUAUGAGCUGCUCGAUAGAGGCGAAAUCUCCACUGUUGUCGAAGAUGACUAGGCUAGGCUUAAUUACUUUGUUAAUUAUCUAGUUAACAACUUUUCUUUGGUUAUUUGCAUUGAAGGCAUGUAUUAUGUAUAUAUAAUAAUAGCUUUGCAUGUGUAAUAUAUGUUUAUUUCCGGAGAUUUGCAUGUUGGGAUUAAUGUAAGGAGGAGCUUUCAACAAAGAGCA